UCACAAAAAAUCUACACUGAAACAAUUUAUAUUUAAUUUUACUUAAUUUUGAAACUUAUACACUUAAAAGUAUUUAUUUUAUUAAUAAAUUCAAAGUAAAUUUCAAAAAUCUGUAUACAUAAUCGUGUAAAUUACUCCAUCGUGUAUUAUUAUACAUGAUCGUGAUGGUGUUGCGAUGACUUUGGAUCCAAAUUAAAGAAGGUUGCCCUUAUCAAUCAUCAUCAAAUUCCCAAGCGAAACCAUCUUCACUCAUUCACUCAAUCGACCACCACGGAUUCAAUCUUCAAUAGUGCUUUAAUUACACCCUCUUAAAGAUUGAAUCUAUACGUUUCAAACUAUCCAACAGUAUUGUGACACGUAGAAUACGCUUCACCGACGAACCGUGUCACAAGCUUGAAUCUUAUUGCUGCUCCACCACUUCCAUUAUCGUAAUCAGAUUGCAUCUAUUUCUUCCCUUCAAUCUUUCAUUAAAUCUCUUUCCUCGCUCUCCACCUCCUGUGUUGCAGAAGCUGCUCCCUUCACUGACAUAAUCGCCAACAGGUACGCCUUAUGUAAUUUCUUAAUUCAAUUUCUUUCUUCCCAUUCAAACAAUAUCCAAUAAAUUAUCAUUUCUUGAUUCUCAAUUUAUCUGUUGUUUCAAUUUUGGAAUGAAACCCAUAUGUCGGUCAAUCAUGCUUCAGUUCAUUUGGAAAAUUAAAUCACGAAUAUCCUUUUAGUUCUGAGGGAUGAAGAUGUGAUGUCGUAGGUAUAAUCUGUAACUAAAGACCAAAGAAAGUAAAGUUAAGAGUUCAGAAUGGGAUUCGUGGUGGUGAUAUCAUUGCCGUUAAUAUUGAUCAUCUUGAUAUUGGCUUUGGGGUGUUACCUGUGUGGCCGGGCCAAGGGUCGGCGACAAAACCCACAGCAGUAUGGGCCUCCUGCUCCUCCAGUACAGGCCCAACCCAAAUAAUGCCUACCUUGUGGUUCAUAGCUUAAUCUUGAAUAAAAUAGUAGAGCAUUGAAAUUUGUUUCCACAUUAGUGGGUAUAUUUGGUGAUUAAAUAUUUAAGUUCAUGACUUCAAAAAAAAAAAAUGAAGUAAAAUUAAUUAGUUAUUUGAUUUUCGUGUUUAAAUUAUAGUUUGUUUCAAUCUUUCUGUUUUCUAAUUUAUUUUUUUCUUUGCCUUUCUUUCUACUCUCGCUGAUUUUUCAGG
This 1187-nucleotide long non-coding RNA is filed under the name Vigna radiata. Its description in RNAcentral is "long non-coding RNA (VRAD_LNC002399)". Lineage: Eukaryota; Viridiplantae; Streptophyta; Magnoliopsida; Fabales; Fabaceae. The record is from RNAcentral.